GUGGGAAGACAGCGGGUGUUAUGGAGUCCCAGCCACCACCUGCCUGUCAAAUGUCGAGCUUGGUGCAAGCGUUGACAGGCAGGCAAGGAGACAGUCAGCUGUGGUAGUGGCGACGACGACGACAGUCAGGUGUUGGAGGAGCCGCCAGUGUUGGAGGCACCAGUGGUGGUGUAGUGAGUGUCGCGCCACCUAUGUGUGUAGUGGUAAUGGUGGGCCAGCGUAUUGUUCUCCCGGCUCUAUACCGCUGCCCCGUGCUCAUGCUCCCGGCAAGAUGGUGACCUGGUGUUCCCUGCCAGAUCACGUCUUGGAGGUCAUCUUCUCGUACCUGGACGUGCACGACCUGCGCAACUGUUCCCUGGUGUGCAAGACCUGGUACAAGUACCUCAACGACGAGAACAACGACGUGUGGCGGCUCCACUGCGUCAGGAAACUAGCCGAAGAGGCCCUUAAAUCCGAUUUAUUAUCCUCCGUGCCCACUUAUAAGGCUAAAUUGAGAGCCUUCUACCACGCGUGGAACCCCAAUGAUUGCUCGAGGAAUAUCUACGUGAAGCCCAACGGGUUCACCCUGCACCGGAACCCUGUGGCCCAGAGUACCGAUGGGGCCCGGGGUAAGAUUGGCUUCAGGUCAGGGCGGCAUGCCUGGGAGGUGGUGUGGGAGGGCCCCCUGGGCACGGUGGCCGUCAUUGGCAUAGCCACCAGGGAGGCGGCCGUACAGUGCCCGGGGUACGUGGCACUCCUGGGCUCCGACGAACACUCCUGGGGUUGGAAUCUCGUCGAUAAUCACUUGUUACACAAUGGGGAUUCGCAGGGAAAUUAUCCGCAGUUGAAUAAUGCGCCGAAGUACCAGGUAGGGGAGAGAAUACGGGUGAUAUUGGACUGUGAUGAUAACACGUUAGCAUUUGAGAAGAACUACGAAUUCCUAGGAGUUGCUUUUAGAGGACUGCCAGACAAGCAGUUGUACCCUUCAGUGUCUGCUGUGUAUGGCAACACAGAGGUUUCUAUGGUAUAUCUAGGGCCACCACUGGAUGGCUGACCCGCCAUAUUUUUAGUACUGACAAUGCCAGACUGCAGAGUGCAACAUGGUUCCUCGCUCAUCUCAAGGGAUUGUCCGCCCAAAAUGUUUCCUGCAUUGUGACGGAUGUAUGGUGAGGGGUAAUGGAACAGUGGCUAGCUGCUCCUAGUGACAUGUGAUGUUAGAUUUCAGUAAAGGGAGGCGAAGAGACGGCUGGACCAACCACGGUGAUUUAGCCUUGACAAGCUAUGCAUCAUGCAGUGAUUAAUAUAAUAUACAUAACUGUGAGAUUAUUUGUGACGAGUGAGCAACAAAUCUUCCGUAGACAAUGUAAAAACGUAUGUGUGAAGAGAGUUGCAUAAACCUUGGCAAAGGAUGAACAAGUACAACACACGCAAAACUCAGUGCAAUUACUACAAUUACUACUUACAUAUAAGGCAACCCAGGCGGCUGCUGGUUUAUUGUGAUUUUUUCAAAACUGACUGUGGGCGAGUCUCUGUAUAUAGAUGAGGUGCCGUUUUUAAGAACUUCCAACGUGUGAUGCUGAUAUAGGACUUAGAAGAUCAGUUUGAAGCGUAAGUAGCUCCCGAAGUUUCACAGAUCAGUGCAGUUGUUACAGCUUUUUACAGUUAAUAAUUUAUUGAUGCGUCAUGGGUUGAUCUUAGCAUUCAGGGAGCCCUAAUAAUAAUGUAAUUUAUUUUAUAGUACUGUAUUACUGUAUAUGAAUUGUGUAAUAUAUAUAUAUAUAUAUAUAUAUAUAUAUAUAUAUAUAUAUAUAAAUAUAAUUUGGAAGCAGGUUUUUUUCUAAUACACAUGUCAUUAAACACAACAGCAUUGUGACUAUUAUUAAUUCUCUUUUGGAUAUUUUCCAUUCUGCUUUAAGCAAAUUCUACUACUGUAUGUGUGUGUGUAAAUCACGAAAAUUAACACAUGAUGAAAAAUGUGACUGUAUCAGACCACGAAGGAAGGAUUGAAACAGGAAUUACCUU
Procambarus clarkii (red swamp crayfish) is the source of this 2001-nucleotide RNA transcript. It is a transcript of the gene named F-box synaptic protein, with no coding region annotated. The record is from RefSeq and is a predicted model, not a curated record. NCBI's taxonomy places the organism in Eukaryota, Metazoa, Arthropoda, Malacostraca, Decapoda, Cambaridae.